UACAGAGGUCCCAAGCGUUGUUCGGAUUCACUGGGCGUAAAGGGUGCGUAGGCGGUCGGGUAAGUCUGAUGUGAAAUCUCACAGCUUAACUGUGAAACUGCAUUGGAUACUAUCCGGCUAGAGGAAUGGAGGGGAGACUGGAAUAUUUGGUGUAGCAGUGAAAUGCGUAGAUAUCAAGUGGAACACCAGUGGCGAAGGCGAGUCUCUGGACAUUUCCUGACGCUGAGGCACGAAAGCCAGGGGAGCAAACGGG
This 253-nucleotide ribosomal RNA is filed under the name uncultured bacterium. Its description in RNAcentral is "partial 16S ribosomal RNA". It matches the Rfam family "Bacterial small subunit ribosomal RNA", at positions 524 to 776 of the family's 1533-position model. The record is from RNAcentral.